This is a long non-coding RNA of Marmota monax (woodchuck), 825 nucleotides long. RefSeq lists it as uncharacterized. Lineage: Eukaryota; Metazoa; Chordata; Mammalia; Rodentia; Sciuridae. The record is from RefSeq and is a predicted model, not a curated record. The transcript has 3 exons.
AGACCAGGUGCCCCAGAAGACCAUGUCAGGAUGAUCCAUGCUCUUGGAACCUGACUUCAAAUGGAAGUCUGCAAAUGUACAUCACUGUGAGGCGUUUUGGUCAUGUGAGCAAAACUGUUUAUCUUGGAGUUCUCAUUAAGAGAAGAUUCAAAAUGAAGGGGAAAUUUUCUUUUCUUAUUUCUCACUAAUCAUUUCUGACAUGAAGUUGGCAAGCUGAGCUGUGAAGAGCCAUCCACCGGGUCCAGGUCGACCUCCCCCCUCGGGAAGAAGGCACACAUGGUGCCCAAGAAUAAAUGCCCUCCAACGGAGGGGAAGGACAGUGCUUAGUGUCAUUUUCAUAUGGAAUUUUUUUUCCCUCAGCAUAAUCUGCUUAUCUCUUUGUGGUACAAUUUAACUGUUGUGAUAUUAUUUAACUGUUUAAAGUUGUCAAACACAUGAUUUAGCAGGUGUUUGACAUGCCCUACAUUUUGUUCUCCCUAUCAAGAAAAAUGAAAUGUUUUGUAUUAUAUUUGAACUCUUUUCCUUAGAUUAUAUGUAGUACAAGUAGUUUCAGUUGAAAAAAAUCCAAUUUCUAUUUAAAUAUUAAUGAAAAUAAUCUUACCAAAGUAAGAUAGCUGCAAUAUUAAAAUCUGUGAUGUGUGUGUGUGUGUGUGUGUGUGUGUGUGUUUUCUCACAUUUUAAUAGAAAGAAGAGAAAUGGAUGUUUAAUCAUUGGGAAGAAAAAAAUCUAAAUAAUUCUUACUAAUAUACAUAUUAAAUUUCUUGUGAUACUGAAACAGAGUUAAUAUUCUAAAUGUCAAUGACUGAUGUACAAAUUUACUUCAAA